Small nuclear RNA from Suncus etruscus (white-toothed pygmy shrew), 186 nucleotides. RefSeq annotates it as U2 spliceosomal RNA. The record is from RefSeq and is a predicted model, not a curated record. The transcript has a single exon. NCBI's taxonomy places the organism in Eukaryota, Metazoa, Chordata, Mammalia, Eulipotyphla, Soricidae.
AUUGCAUCUUGACCUUUUGGAUAAGAUUAAGUGUAGUGUCUAUUCUUAUCAGUUUAAUAUCUUAUAAUCUGUCAUCUAUUCCAUGACAGUAUAUUAAAUGAAAUCUUGGUAUUAGGAACUGGAAUAGGAGUUUGCUCCAUCCAUUCUGCCUGGUACUGUAGUACUUCUAGGAGCAGUGUACUACAC